Molecule: long non-coding RNA, 2047 nt
Filed under: Nicotiana benthamiana
Lineage: Eukaryota; Viridiplantae; Streptophyta; Magnoliopsida; Solanales; Solanaceae
Description: long non-coding RNA (NBEN_LNC007867)
Source: RNAcentral
GGAAAACAUAACCUUAAAUAACUAGGAAACCAAUAAAUAUAGUCUCAUAAUAUAUGGAAAUAAGUUUGAAACAAAUCUUGGAUAGAAUCUUAAGAAUCAUGGAAAUCUUGAACGAAAUUUGCAAGCAAGUUGGCACCAACUUGCAUUCAACAUCUAGCAUGACUAUUUUUCCCUUCUUGGACCUCAAGCAAGUCAUUUUUAUACUAUAAAUUGUGGCUUUAUGUAGGACUUUAUCGGCUGCAAGUUUGGACACAUAUUUGGUGUUAAAUUGGUCCAAUAGUAGUUUGAUUUAGGCCUUCUUAAGAAGAGUUAGGGGUUUAUGAUUCAUAAUAUAUUAACUGAUAAAAGAGAAGGCAGAAUACAACAUGCUUAAUGAUGGAACUGAGUUAAAUACAAGCAGGAUGCAAACAGGAAUGACAUAUAUAGUAAGGAAACAUGUGGUUGUUGAUGCUGAAAAUUAGUUAGAAUAUACCAGUUCAAAGAAGAAAAAUGUAAUAAAUAAAGGUAGCAGGACUCUGAGAUAUAGCUUUGGCUUUUAGCAGCUCUGCAUGCCACAUUACAAGUACUAAAUCAAGAGAGUGUUUUGAGUGUAAAUUUUGAGUUCAGAACUAGAAGUGUUUGUGUGUGUUAAUGAGUGAAAAUGUAUAUAUGGUAGUUUGAAAACCAUGUAAAUAAGGCAAGAAUAAUAAUUAUAUAUAUGGUAGUUUGAAAACCAUGUAAAUAAGACAAUUAGGGGUAAGUACAUAAGGAUUCAACUUGGGAAACAACUAAUGGAGAAUCGCUAAAAUACUCGGUUUAACCAAACAAGGCAAGAAACACAAUAAAAUUUGCAGAAUAUAGAGACAAUCAGAAUAUAGUAAAUCAGGGAGUUAGGGAUUCAAAAUUACUUACUUAAGGAGAAUAACAUGGGUUCCCAUGAAUAAGAAAAUAAACCAAGUUAAAAUAAGAUAAUCAACAUUUUAAAGGGAUGUUUUCAAAUCAAGCCAAGAAACAGGGAACUCAGAGUCAGUCAAAUAAAGAGUCGUGAGUCCUGUUUUAGCAUAUAAAUAGAGUGUGAUAUGAGUAACUAGAAGUAACAAGAAAAUAGGCAAGUCUUGACUAGUCAAGACGAACACAAGCAUGUAAGUGUGGAAUAAGAAACUUAGUAGAAACACAUUCGACGUGAGAUAGUCACAAAAACUCACACAAGAAAAGGCCCGUCAAAAAGUCAAAUGAAGAACCAUAGAAAAAUUAGGGAUUUCAACAUAGGCGAGUUAAAGAGAGGAUAAAAACCCAGAAUCUGAAGAAUCACACAAAAGGAACAAGAGAUUUUGAAAAGAACUUCAGCACUUGAAAGAACACUCUCAGACCCAAAACCAUAAGAUUUUCCCCAUUAGAAAGGUUUUAAAAAGGGAAUAAAUAGACAGAUUGGACAAAACACUAGCGAACAACAUUCACUUAAGAAACAGUUACAGAAAUUAGGGCUUUUAACAUGCGAAGUCAAGCAAUAGGAUAAUACGAACAAACACAACAAAACAUAUAAAAAAUCAAAGAAAUGAUUCAAAAUAACUUAACAAAAUCUUAAUCAGAAAGAUAAGAAGUUUUGAAGGUAGAUUUUUAAAAGAAACUUUAAGAAAAACGUUUAGAAGCUUAGAGCAAACACAUAUCUAAAACAGAUCUAAAAGAAAUCGGAAUAACCUUAAAGGUUAGAGUUUUAGAAGAACCACAAGUGGUGAGAAAGGCAUUGAAAAUCAUCGAUCUAAGUAGGAGAGUUAAGAGUGAUACUCGAAUAGCCAUGGCUGGCCAGAGAAAAGUCAGAGAUGAUCAGAGAACAGCCAUAAAAUGAAAUCACCCAAGGUCUGAACCAAACUUCUUCAAGAUCUGACCUUGAAAUCAUAAUAAUCGAACAUACAAAAGCUAAGGGGGUGGAUACAGGACUCCAAUGACCUUGGAAGCCAUGAAUUCGGGAGAUUUUCAUGUAGUACUUUAGGGUGCUGUCUGGGGUUUGAGAGGGAUUUGAGAGAGGAUUCAGAGAAAAGGUGAUUCAGAGGCGGUCGAGUGUGGGAAA